RNAcentral lists this ribosomal RNA (439 nucleotides) under uncultured bacterium. Its description in RNAcentral is "partial 16S ribosomal RNA". It matches the Rfam family "Bacterial small subunit ribosomal RNA", at positions 339 to 795 of the family's 1533-position model. The record is from RNAcentral.
CUACGGGAUGCUGCAGUGAGGAAUAUUGCACAAUGGGGGAAACCCUGAUGCAGCAACGCCGCGUGGAGGAUGACGCAUUUCGGUGUGUAAACUCCUUUUAUGAGUCAAGAAAAUGACGGUAGCUCAUGAAUAAGCACCGGCUAACUCCGUGCCAGCAGCCGCGGUAACACGGAGGGUGCAAGCGCUACUCGGAAUCACUGGGCGGAAAGGACGCGUAGGCGGGAUGUCAAGUCAGGUGUGAAAUCCUAUGGCUCAACCAUAGAACUGCACUUGAAACUGGCAACCUAGAGUAUGGGAGGGGGAGAUGGAAUUAGUGGUGUAGGGGUAAAAUCCGUAGAUAUCACUAGGAAUACCGAAAGCGAAGGCGAUCUCCUGGAACAUUACUGACGCUAAGGCGUGAAAGCGUGGGGAGCAAACAGGAUUAGAUACCCGCGUAGUC